RNAcentral lists this ribosomal RNA (923 nucleotides) under Mycobacterium sp. S048. RNAcentral describes it as "bacterial SSU rRNA". It matches the Rfam family "Bacterial small subunit ribosomal RNA", at positions 31 to 969 of the family's 1533-position model. Lineage: Bacteria; Bacillati; Actinomycetota; Actinomycetes; Mycobacteriales; Mycobacteriaceae. The record is from RNAcentral.
GAACGCAGCCGGCGCUGCUAAACACAUACAAGUGACGGAAAGGCCCUUCGGGGUACUCGAGUGGCGAACGGGUGAGUAACACGUGGGUGAUCUGCCCUGCACUUCGGGAUAAGCCUGGGAAACUGGGUCUAAUAUCGGAUAUACCUCAUGCAUUGCAUGGUUUGUGGGGGAAAGCUUUUGCGGUGUGGGAUGGGCCCGCGGCCUAUCAGCUUGUUGGUGAGGUUAUGGCUUACCAAGGCGACGACGGGUAGCCGGCCUGAGAGGGUGUCCGGCCACACUGGGACUGAGAUACGGCCCAGACUCCUACGGGAGGCAGCAGUGGGGAAUAUUGCACAAUGGGCGCAAGCCUGAUGCAGCGACGCCGCGUGAGGGAUGACGGCCUUCGGGUUGUAAACCUCUUUCAGCACGGACGAAGCGAAAGUGACGGUACCUGCAGAAGAAGCACCGGCCAACUACGUGCCAGCAGCCGCGGUAAUACGUAGGGUGCGAGCGUUGUCCGGAAUUACUGGGCGUAAAGAGCUCGUAGGUGGUUUGUCACGUUGUUCGUGAAAACUCACAGCUUAACUGUGGGCGUGCGGGCGAUACGGGCAGACUAGAGUACUGCAGGGGAGACUGGAAUUCCUGGUGUAGCGGUGGAAUGCGCAGAUAUCAGGAGGAACACCGGUGGCGAAGGCGGGUCUCUGGGCAGUAACUGACGCUGAGGAGCGAAAGCGUGGGGAGCGAACAGGAUUAGAUACCCUGGUAGUCCACGCCGUAAACGGUGGGUACUAGGUGUGGGUUUCCUUCCUUGGGAUCCGUGCCGUAGCUAACGCAUUAAGUACCCCGCCUGGGGAGUACGGCCGCAAGGCUAAAACUCAAAGAAAUUGACGGGGGCCCGCACAAGCGGCGGAGCAUGUGGAUUAAUUCGAUGCAACGCGAAGAAC